Non-coding RNA from Doryrhamphus excisus (bluestripe pipefish), 2723 nucleotides. Lineage: Eukaryota; Metazoa; Chordata; Actinopteri; Syngnathiformes; Syngnathidae. The record is from RefSeq and is a predicted model, not a curated record.
GUCACGCACGGAAGAACACGCUCACGGAGAGAGAGCCAGGCUGGAGUUGACUCCAACAGACUGGGUGAUAGUGAGCAAGUGUCGAGAAGGUAGAAUGGAGAACGUAGAGUGAGGAAGUGCAGAAUGUGCUCUUGGCUUCUUUCUUGCUCCGCGCCGGCAUGGCUCCGUGACAGCGGGCGCCGCCGGCUGCUCUGACCGGAAAUGAAGCGUCUCUGUCGGCGGCUGGCGGUGGCCGUGGCGGUGCUCGUGUGGCUCGGAGCGCUAGUCUACCUGCUGGUGCUCAGCCGGAGGAGGCUGCCCGAACUCGGCGUGGCUGCCGGGAUGGCCGUCGUUCCUGGUCCUUUCGCCGGUCCCGGUCCUGGUGUCGGGUCCGACAAACAGAUGUCCGACGCCGAGUGGGAGGACAUGUUGGACGACUUUGACGAGCGAAGUUACCUGAGCGCCCGACGCUGGAGGCCUGGCGACGACCCGUACACGCUGUAUGCCUUCAACCAGAGGGAGAGCGAACGCAUCCCCAGCAACCGAGCCCUGAGGGACACCAGGCACCUCAGGUGCGCCGACCUCCGCUACGACGCCGACCUUCCUCCUACCUCCGUCAUCAUCACCUUCCACAACGAGGCCCGCUCCACUCUGCUGCGCACUGUCAGGAGUGUUUUAAACAGAACUCCCGUUCAUCUCAUCCAUGAGAUCAUCCUGGUGGACGACUUCAGCCAUGACGGAAGCGACUGCCAGCUUCUCACCAAACUGCCCAAAGUCAAAUGUCUCCACAACAGCAAAAGAGAAGGUCUGAUCCGGUCCAGGGUUCGCGGCGCCGAUGCUGCCGGGGCGGCUGUCCUCACCUUCCUGGACAGUCACUGUGAGGUCAACAAGGACUGGCUGCCCCCCCUCCUGCAGAGGAUCAAGCAGGACCCCACCCGCGUGGUCAGCCCCGUCAUCGACAUCAUCAACAUGGACACCUUCGCCUACGUGGCCGCCUCCGCCGACCUGCGAGGAGGAUUCGAUUGGAGCCUCCAUUUUAAGUGGGAGGGGCUUUCGCCUGAGGAGAGAGCUCGUCGGACCGACCCCACGCAGCCAAUCAAGACUCCCAUCAUCGCCGGCGGCCUCUUUGUGAUUGACAGCUCAUGGUUCGAUCACCUGGGCAAGUACGACACGGCCAUGGACAUCUGGGGCGGGGAGAACUUUGAGAUCUCCUUCCGGGUGUGGCAGUGUGGAGGAAGUUUGGAGAUCGUUCCGUGUAGUCGUGUGGGUCACGUCUUCCGGAAAAAACAUCCGUACGUCUUCCCAGAAGGAAACGCCAACACUUACAUCAGGAACACGCGUCGCACAGCCGAAGUUUGGAUGGACGACUUUCGCCUCUUCUACUACUCGGCUCGGCCUGCAGCUCGAGGAAAAUCCUACGGAGACAUCCGAGGACGCGUGGAGCUGCGACACAAGCUCAAGUGCAAGUCCUUCAAGUGGUACCUGGACCACGUCUACCCAGAACUCAAAGUCCCCGAUGAUUCCGACUCGCAGUCCGGGCUCAUCCGACAGAGGCAGAACUGCUUGGAGUCCCGCAGGGUGGACGGCCAGGAGGUUCCGGUGCUGAUGUUGGCGCCCUGCGUGGAUCCAGACGGGGUCCACGCCCCCAAGCAGGAGUGGAUCUACACGCCAGGGCUACAUUGUGGUGGUCUACCCUGGAGUGUGUGUAUGUGCGUGUCUAAAGGUGUUCCUCCUGCAGGAGUGGAUCUACACGCCAGGCCAGCAGAUACGACAGCAACACCACUGCGUGUCCGUCACCACCACCUUCCCCGCCUCGCAACUGCUGCUGUUGCCCUGCAACAUGGCCGACGGCAAGCAGCGCUGGCAGAAGUCGGGCACUCACCUGGAGCACCAGACGUCUCGCUUUUGCCUGGACUCGGCCAUGGCGCUGGACGGGCUGGACUCGUCCCGCAUGCUGGUCAUCAGCCCGUGUGAGCAGAGCGCCGCCACGCAGAGGUGGGACGUGCCCUUCUCCUGACCCUCCAACCCACCCGUGACCUCUGACCUCGGAGACACCAGCUGCUGAGCAUCUGGUGAGGAGGCCAGCGGGUUGUUUGGGUCCUGAACCUAAAGUGCACCUUAAGGCCGGCCGCCCUGUUGGAGUCUUUUGUAACGAGCACGAGGCGCUAAGCGGGCUAUAUUUACAACGAGGACGUUUUGAUACGAAAAGGUCUUUCACGUAUGGAAAGGUGGGACGACAUCAUCACUUCCUUUGCAUCACAGUGACAGUAGGACAGCUCCUCCAGCGCCGCGCUGCACAGCAUGAUGAUGUCGGGAACAGGAAGUGAGCUGAUGAAGCACUUCCUGCGUGGGCGAGAGUACCAAGUCAGAGGGGCUCGUGGAACUGGUUCGGGACAAGGACAAGGACCUCCCCCAAGGCCCACCAAUCCAACACAGGAAAAACAAGACAUGUACCGAUCCGACCCUGUAGGAGGCAGUCUUGAUUACAUCACUGGGGUCAACUGCAGCAGGUUGGACCUCACAGCGUCACCUGCUGGACCUGAUGCAUGGUGCAACCACGGUGUCCGUCCAUCCAUCCAUCCAUCCAUCCAUCCAUCCCUUUUCUUUUUCUAUUGCGCUGACCCUCGCCAGGGUAUGCUGGAGUCUAGCAACCACAACAUCCAACCGUCCGUCCCUUUUCUAUAGCGCUGACCCUUCGCCAGGGUCGCGGUAUGCUGGAGCCUAGCAACCAUAACAUCAUCCAU